AUUGAACGCUGGCGGCAUGCCUUACACAUGCAAGUCGAACGGCAGCACGGGAGUAAUCCUGGUGGCGAGUGGCGAACGGGUGAGUAAAGCAUCGGAACGUGCCCAGUCGUGGGGGAUAACGUAGCGAAAGCUACGCUAAUACCGCAUACGAUCUGUGGAUGAAAGCGGGGGACCGUAAGGCCUCGCGCGAUUGGAGCGGCCGAUGUCAGAUUAGGUAGUUGGUGAGGUAAAGGCUCACCAAGCCGACGAUCUGUAGCUGGUCUGAGAGGACGACCAGCCACACUGGGACUGAGACACGGCCCAGACUCCUACGGGAGGCAGCAGUGGGGAAUUUUGGACAAUGGGCGCAAGCCUGAUCCAGCAAUGCCGCGUGCAGGAUGAAGGCCUUCGGGUUGUAAACUGCUUUUGUACGGAGCGAAAAGGCUUCCACUAAUACUGGGGGCUCAUGACGGUACCGGAAGAAUAAGCACCGGCUAACUACGUG
RNAcentral lists this ribosomal RNA (484 nucleotides) under uncultured bacterium. RNAcentral describes it as "partial 16S ribosomal RNA". It matches the Rfam family "Bacterial small subunit ribosomal RNA", at positions 30 to 507 of the family's 1533-position model. The record is from RNAcentral.